AAAAUAAAAACAAAACAAACUUUGUAUCUAUACUGUGAUCCAUCCGAUUAUCAGGAUAUACACAAGGCUAGAAAGAAUUCAUGCACAGUGACCAGGAAAUCAAUCUGUUACUUCUAACAUCUGGUUGCAAACAUUUCCUCCUGCAUUUCUUGAAUGCUACCUAAUGCUUUAACCAAAUUUUGUUUCUUUUCAACAUCCCACGUACUUAUAUGAUUAAAAGAACCCAGCACCCUGUCUUCUGCCCCAUAUGCACACCCACCACCAGGCCAACUUAAAAAUCUUCAAGAAUAUUAAUUAUUGUUAAUUAACACACCCUCUUUGAUACAUAAAUCUGCGUUGGGCAUCUAAAAAAGACCCCUGUAAUGUAAUUUACUGUGUAGGCAGUGACCCCAACAAAACCAAAGCAAUGCUUCUUCAAUGCAUACGAACAAGAAUUAAAUUAUCACUUUCUCGACAAGACUCACGGUCCUUAUUUUUUUACAAAAGGUGAUACAUUUUCCCAGGGCCAUGCAGAACAAAGGAAGGAUCUCCGCCACAGGGGCUCAAUUUGCCAAUCCCUUCGUUCCCCGAGGAAGGGCAGCGAAAGCCCCUUGGGUCACGGUGCUGGCAGACGAAGGGAAUCCUCUGCCGGCAGGAGCCGGCUGCCCAAGUUCAGCGGCACCCAGCGACUGGCUGCAACCCUCCGGAGGGCGCGGAUUUGGCAGCAGAGCUGCAUAGCUCGGAUGUACCAGGAGGCCUUCCCCCUCAUUUUACUCAGCUGUCCAUCGCAUUUGUAGAUAUAUGCAUUAGCAGGGCAGCAAAUGUCUGUUUGGGGGAUUGUAUUUGAUAGCCGAAGAGCUAUGCUCUGUUAAGCAGAGUGGGAUCUGGCGGUGAUAUGGGUCACUUGUGGUCACUUGUUCUUUACAUUCAAAUCAGUCAAACACGGUAUCAUAAAGGUCACUUUGCGCUGACACCAACAGCAGUUGAAAUUUCUCAGCAACAUGAAUGAAGCAAUGCAACAAUUCUGAAAUAUGGCUUAAUUGAUGACUGACACAUAAGCUUACUUUUCUGUGAUUUGUCUUAAGUUGGUUGUCUUAAAGCAAAUACAUAAAUUAAUUCUGGAAAUACAGAAAAAUAACACGGGACAGAAAAUGUCAGGCUAUCCAGAACAUUUGACAAUUUAAAUACAGAUAAACCCAACAGAAAAGAAUGAAUCAUCAUGUCGUAGCCUUUACUGUAAAAUAAAAUAUAUAGUUGUUGUCAAGGAAAGAAUAAUUUUAGUGCAUAAAGAAAAUGUCCAUUAUAAUGCAAAUGUACAUGGAAAAGAAAUGCUUACUCAUUAGUAAUGGAGAUUUACUUAGCUGUAAUUGAAAUAGGGAAUCUGUAUGUUGGAGAAUGUGACAAUCUGCUGUACAAUUAGCAUACCAUUAAGUAGGAGAUGUAGAAGCACAUACUGACAGUGAAAUUAACAAUAACUUAGAGGUCACAACUGGAACAAUUAGGUCACUCCCAUACCUUACCAAGCCCAUAAUUAUUGAAGAAAAAAGAAAAAAAAAGUAAAAACAAACAGUACAUUUUUAUUUUCCUAUAAUUUCUAAGUAGUCAUAGCACAUGAAAACAACAUAACCUCCUCUUUAGAUUUUGUCUAAAAGGACCACUUUGCCUUUUUAUAAUGCAUAUGCCAUUAACAUAACUCAUUUCUUACCUGUUAAUCUGUUUUCUCCAAGUCCCUUAAUGGUAGCCCAGAUACUCGGUAAUAAGUCACUCUACUAUCAGGUGGAGAGAGGAAAAGGGAGGGGGGAAAAAGGCAAAACUAUUCUUGAAAUUCCCCUUUAUGGGGAUUUGCUGGUUUCACACUGUUGAACUAGAUUUCCCAAGCCAUCCAAAUUAUGGCUAUCCUUUGGACCCAAACAGUAAGCUAAAAAAAAAAAAAAGGGUCACAUAGAUGGGAAAAACAAUUAUAAGUCAGUUAUUUCUUUGGCGCAAUCAUGUUUAUUUAUGAAUAACAUACAUACAGUUCUGUUGUCCUAAAUUCAGUAUGACGCAAACGAAGGAAAGCAUUUUCCAUGGAGCUCAUGGUUCCCAGCCUUUUCCUGUGUGGCACUUUGUCCCAUAGCCCUCUUUCAACUUUUUUUUUUCCAGGUGUUCUGUUUCAAGUGCUUCUCCAGAGUUUCUUUGCUGCUUACCUAUGUGCUGCUGUGGUGUUUCUCAAUAACUCUCAUACACACUCAUGCACACACAGCUCCUUCCAGAUCACUGUAUAUUUAUUCAGACCUACCUGUGUGCAAAGUCAUGGUCAGCCCUGUACAGUGUCUGCGUUUUAAACAGUCCCGACAGCUCCAGCUGUCUAACUAAUAAAGAACUUAAAACAGCUUUUUUUAACAUUUAGUCUAGAGGAAGAGUAUUAGCGGAUACACUGUAAGAUUUCACCCAGACUGUAUCAUAACAACACUUUUGGUCUGUCACAGUACAGGAAUCUAGAAUGGCAACGAGGUCCAAGCUAGCAGAAAGAAGUCAUUUCCAAAAUAAAACCUAUUUGAAAAUAGUAGCAUGCUAUAUUUAUUUCAAGACAUUUUCAAAUCACCAAUCCAAAACUUUAGUGGAAUCUUUUCCUGAUUAUUUUGUAACCCUUUAAAAACUGGAAAGAAUCUCAAUGAAUGAGUUCCUAUGAUUCCUCUGACAUCUAAUGAGAUAAUUGGCCUAUGCUCAAUUUAAAGAUGUUAUUCCCGAGGCAAAUGUUCUGGAUUCAGUUUCUUCAGGUGUAUUUCAGGAUUCAGGAACAGUCACAAGGAACACUUCUUUCCUUUGAUUCCUUCAGCUAAGGGAGAAGCUUUUAAAGUUUUGGAUUCUGCUGUUCAUGUCUCUUAGUUGGCUUUCAGUAACACUUCACCAGAAUCAAACAGAGGUUGACUACCAGUCUGCAUCAAGCAGACAGAUACAUCAAAAGAAAUGCCUCCCACAAGGACUACACAUUCCUUUUUCACAUCUUGCGUUUUGCAACCUAUAUCCAUCAUCAUCUGCUGGUGGGAAGAACUUCCUAUCUUCUAUACUUAAUCUUUCAUAUUUCAAACUUCCUGAGGUAAAUGGAAAGCCUUUGUUAUGAUAGCAAGAGGUGGUACUGCAUUCUAGCAUGAAUGUAUCUACAAUGCCAUCCCUCAAUCAAACUUUGCUUCAGUAUCUGAGUCCUCUCCUUAAGAGGUCCCAAUGCUGCACUUUAAACAAAACCCCAAAGCAAUAGCUAUUUCUAAACAAAUUUUCCAUUGUUAAUCUACCUGUUCCUUUCUGUCUUUUUCAGGCAGCAUCCAAGCUUUUCCUAUCCAAACUUUUUGACUACACGAGCUUUGCUACAGGUCCUAGCCUGCUGUGAGAGCAGUCUUCCUCCUGCCCUUUGGGUCAGCCUUCUCUUCAUGACACAACAUCCUCGGCUCCAUCUAUUUCUCAGUGAGCAAGAAUCCUCCUGUAAACUUGCAUUCAGUACCCCACUGAAUCUGCUCUUCUCUUUUCUUCAUCACAGCGACAGGUAAGGCUCAGAACUGAAGAAGGCAAGAUUAAUUGCUUGAUGGCUCAGAGGACUUAUCCAUCUCUGCAGCAGAUAAAUAGUGAGCUAGCUGUUUAAUAAAGUAUUUCCCUUUUAUCAUUGCUGUACAGGAUCCAUACUUGAUCAGGAUGAUUGCUUUACAGUGAUAAAGCUUCUUAGAUCAUCCCAUGUCUUACAUUUAACGUUAGAGUAAAUUCAGCAUCAAAGUAAGCUCAUUUUCUCCCCAGUAGUUUCCUUGUAUAUACGUAUUUACUAAACACAUUGGCUCCUGUUUUGCUUGGUAUUUUUUUUCCUGCUGCUUUUGCUCAUCAGAAGUGCUCAGCAAAUAAGCAAGCAUCCAUCUCUCCUUCAAAGCCAAAAAGAUGUCAGCAGCUAGAAUUCCUUUAUGAAAACUGUUUCACUUUAUCUUCUCCUUCCUUUUCUAAAACCCUACUGCAGCAAGUAGCUACAAUGAUCUGUGCUUUUACAGACAGGAUAAUCUGUCCAUUGCAAAUCAGUUGCCUUUUUAUAGAUCCUUUCCUUUGAUGACCUGGGCUUCAUCUUUAAAAUGGAUUUCCACAAACUGACUUUGUAGGACACUUUGUGGUAUUCAUUACUUACACUUUAUCACAAAAAGAAAUCCAAAGCAAUAACGACUUCAUAUGUCCUCACAACUACCUAGUCAUCUUGCUUAACCUCAAGUACUUUAUUUAUUUAUUAUGGCUCAUUUUAUACGGAUUUUCAGAAUAUCAGCCAACAACUAAUUUGUUCCAUUAUUUUUAAUUUCUCUCACUUUAGAGAUCAUUUUUAUCCUGAAAAGAACAUCAAAUCAUCAGUCAGAAGACAGACCAAAAUCUCUUUCUCCGUAAUAUGUAUUAAACACAGAUGCAUUUAUAGGCUCAUGAUAAUCCAUUUUCAUUUUCUUCACUGAUAACUGCUUCCAGUUCUGAUGCACACAUGCAAGAAGACUCAGGUUCUGCAGUGAAUUCCAGAGCCUCUCUGUACUCUUUUGGCUUUCUUUCAUUGAGUUUAAUCUGCAAGCCCAAGUUUGUCUAAUUAAUUUAUUGCCAGUUUGUCUUAGAAGUCUUCUGAUUCUGGCAGAAACCGCCGAAGUCUUCUCUGGAUGCCCGCCACGACAGGUAGAUUUUUAUUCCCUCUCCUAUCUUGUAGUUAUGUUCUGGCCAGUUCAAGGUGAUUGGCUCCAAAGUACAGAGCCUGUCUCUAACUCCCAGAGCUAAUGAAGAAGGGAACUUUUUCCAAGAAGUGUAGUAGCAUGCCAGCAGCCAAAACAACUGCUAAAAUCCCUCUGUGUUUAUCUUCUCAGCCUAUGAGCUGUGUUCCUGAAGCAAUGAAUAAAUCUCAGUUUCCCUCCCCAGAAGAUCACGUUUGGGUAGCAGUAGUAUACAUUAUUUGAGGUGAGGCAAUGCGAGCAUUCUCCUCCAGGAUAUUAGAAAUAGAAUAUGAUCUUAAAUGAAAAUAAUUUUUUUCCUUCUUUGCGUUCCAAGUGAGUUCAAGGUUAAUAGAAACUUGCAACUUAUCUGCUCAGAAACUGGAUUCACUUCUGCUAUUAAUGUCACCAUUUUUUACUUAGGUUGAACCAAGAGGAGGUUUGUAGGCUGUUUUCAUUAGGGAGAUAAAUCAGUGAUGGAGUGAAGUAUUUAUUAGGUGCAGUGCCUUUUAUUUCCACAUUAUGUAUGUGAAGGUUUUGUUCAUUUUAGACACAGGAUGAAUCCAGAUCAGGAAAAAAGAAACAAAAAACAAAAACCAACCAUUACUUCCUUGUAGUUCCAAGCCUCUUUCCAAGAAGCACUGUGCACAAAAAGGCUCGCCCUCCACCCUUCUUUCUUAGCAUAUGUUUACAUUGCUUUCCUGGCCAUAUCUUCUCCAUGAGAUUUUGUAGUGUUUUUCUAGUUGAUGUUUCUGCACACACAGUUUCCUCAAACAAUAGUCCAACCUUUUUUAUCUGAACCAACAACAAAAUUUCCUACAUAACUCCAACUUCUUGUCCUUUUCCCCUGUGUCAUAGGUGUGGCUGGUACGGCUCCAGCUGUCAGUGAUAUGAAAUAAUGAGAUCUGCAUUUAUUGUGAAUGAAGCAUGAAUGUUAAUAAGUUAAUCAGCUUCAACAAAGCUUCAUUCAGUGACCAGCAUGGCAUCACAAGAACCAAAGUAACUGCCAGAGAUGCACAGCAGUUUGCAUCUACAAACUGAAUGAAAAUAAUGCUACCAUGUCAGGGUUGGCACAAAAGAAGUGAAAAACAACAACAAUAAACAAACAAACAAAAAACACAAAAUGCAUAUUUUCAGAACAAGCUCAAGAUGGGCUGGUCUAAGUCAUCUAAUCUAUUAAAAUAAUUUGAGUCCCAUGGGGGAAGUGUUACAUGCACUAGUUUGACUAGUCUGCUUCAAACCUGUAAGUAAAUUACCAUUCUCCUGAACACCCUUUCAGGCAGCAAAAACAUUUUGUGAAAUCUGUGAACAACAACAUCAGUAUCUCAACUACAGAGCAGUGAGUGAAAACCUUAAAGAAGAAAACAGCACUAGACAAUGAAUUUUUAACAGUCAAGUUGGUAAAGCUGGGAGAUGCAAGCGAAGAUACUGAUAGGAUUGUUUCACCAGUAAGUAUCAUCUCUUAGCUAUGCAAUUAGGUGGACUCUUUCACUAUUAUCUUUGGUAGUGUGAAGAUCCUCAAACAAUGUGAGCUUCUGCACUGACAUUCAGUAGGUAGAGGUACUUUCUUUUUAGGGGAUGAAAAUUAAGGAGGGUUUAGAGGGAAGAAGAGUGGAGGGAAGAAAUACUCCUGAAUGCACAGGAAAAGAAAAACAAAGUUGGAAAAGGAAUGCACAGAAUUGUUCAUGAUUCUUAACCUGUCUGGGGAAAAAAAGGCCACUGGAAAGACAGUGAGGCCAUUCUCAUGCGUUACAUGCUAAUAGUCUUAAAGUAAAGACAAAAGAGGGCCUUGGGUUUAACACAAGAGUAUAAUAUUUCUCAUCAAUAAAGUGGGAGUUCGAAGGUCCACUUUGCUUCUCAAAGACAAAAUAGUCUAUGCUUUGAUUUGAUGACUUGAAAAAAUGUGUUUUUCUGAACUUUCACAAAUCCACACCAGGAUAUUACAUUAGUGGACACUUAUUUUUGCUCAGUAAUAAGUAUAAUUUUAUGCUAGUGCACUUUAUGAUAAUAAUUUGCUAGAAAAAAUCCUUUGCUUUUAGUGCACAGUGAUUGAUAUGAUGCUGUUCUCUUGGCAAAAUAAGCUCUGAAUGAUGGGACCUUAAGAGGACGAAAAGACAGACAGCAAAGAAAGAGUCAAAGAACCCCAGAUGCUCAUUUCCCUUGAGUGCCCUUGUGUGACCAUACUGAUAGGUGCCCUGAGCCUCAAAGUCUCAUACUUUCCCUGAGGUGUUGAAUAAGAGAUGGAAGCCAGUCUGAACUUUUCUCUCCCUAAACUACAUUCAUUAACUCUUUGGAUCAGUGCAUAGCAGAUGUAAAGAACACUGGUUCUUUCAAAAUAACUAAGAAUCUCUCUGGAAAGUUCCAGCCUGGAAAAUCCCCAAUUGGUUACAACAUGAAAGGAACAAUAACUGUCAUGGUUUGGGCUGUGUUUGGCUUUGGAUCAGUGAAUUCAUACAGGACUUCAGAUUCAAGGCAAUACAGAUGGAGAAGACAAAUAGAUUUUUUUUUUAAAUAUUGAAGAAAAUUUUUCUUCAUUUGGUAUGACAUGCUCUUCCUCUUUGUGCUCUCUGGUAGUAAGAGCAUUCAUGAUGAAACCACUGGCUGUCACUAUUGCUGUUUCAUAUUAUCCUUCUGCCCCUAAGUGAAAUGAAUGGGAUGCACAUUAAAAUCAUUGCUCAGCCUAGUUAGUUAGAAGCCCCUGGUAUGCUAGCAAUAACUGGUAGCUAUGUAGUUGUUUUGUUUUGUUUUAAAUUUAAAGUGGAUUUGAUGCCGGAAAAAAUUGAAACCCUCACAGUGACCAUUGUUAAGCUUUUCACAAUUAUCUUCAUAUUUAUGGAGAGACUCAAGAUGACAUAGCCAGUUCAAAACAGCUUCUGGCUACCUAGCAUAGAAAAAUCAAUACAAUUACAAAAGCAAUUAAGCAUAGCAAGUAAGAAACCCAGACGUUGCUCAAUCUAAAGCAACUUACAUUAACACAAACAUAACAAACAAAAUACUCCUUUCCUGUAGAUUGAUCCUAGCAAAAAUGAAGCGGCAGCACAUCAAAUCACAAUAAUCACUGAGUGUGUGCCUAGGGUUAACAAAAUAACCUAUAAAACUCACGGUGCUGGCAGUGGGUUACAACAAAGGUUAAAAUGAUGGUAAAGCAGACAGUGUGAAGAGAUGGAUUAUUUACACAGACUUGAGACUUGAAAGUAUCCGGAGUUACUUGGAGCAAGCACCAGUACUUUCUAAAUACAAAAUAUCAGAAAAUCCCCAGUAUGAGUUAGCAAGUUCUGAAUACAGGACUGGGGAAAAUCACAUUCUUCUAAGGUUUUCUUCGAACAGGAAAGCAAGCAAACUGCCCCUCCAAAUCACAUGCUCUUCCACUAAACUAAAAAAUCUUUACAAGGGAAGAAUUGGAGAGACAACAAUUUAGAGAUUUGGAGAGGACCAAGUGCACAGAAAAAUAAUUGCAACUAAAGCCCAAAGUCAGACUUAACUGGCCACAAGAGUUGCUGGCUCUUUCCAUAAGCAAUCAUUUAAAUGAUCAGAAAAUAGACCUCUAUAAAAGAGCGAUCUCUCAAAAACAUGAGUACCUUUGAUUUAUUUUGUCAGUGAAGAAACAGCUCCAAGUGCCUUAACUAAGUGUGAAGCCAUGCUCUUCACAUCUCCGUAGAGAAUUUGGCCACUAUGAACUUUAAACCAUAGCAGUGCUAUGAGAUAAGUUGCAUUCAAAUGCAAACAAUGGAACUUGUGUUACUAACAGAUCUCCAUUUUAGAAGAACACAAUAUUGUCUAGCUUUAUGAACACGUGUAAAUUGAAAUUAUACAUUCAUAAUGCCUCUCGCUGGGUCACUGCAGUUUUAUGACUUUAAUCAUGAGGAGAAGAAUUAGCGCAUUAAAUGCUGAAAAUAGCUCCAUGCACACUGUCUGUAGAAAAAUCAAAAAUAUGUAAAUGAGUAAGACAUACCAACACUAAGAACUAUAGCUAAACCCCCAUAAAGCUACAUGGCAUUGGUGCUUUAAUACAGUUUCAUUCAUUAGGAUUAGACUGACCACUAUUUUACAAAGAUAGAAGUACAUAAAAAUCAUGGCAUGACUAAAAACAUAAAUGAAUAGGUAAGGACAUUCAUUACUAUUUUCUUCAACAACUACACUCCCCUUGUAUUUAUUUGCAUUGACAGCAUCAUUAACAACACUUAUUUGCAAUUUUUUUUCUAAACCCAAAGAGCAAAGAGAUCAUUUCUUUUUUGUUGAUAAUAAAUAACACUUCCAAAUUCCAAAAGUUCUGUGAGAAAUAGAAAUAAAGCUUUAGAAAGGAAAAGUAAACGUCCAUUACCAGAUUUCAGGACUGACAUUUCCCUUGCAAGGCAAGAAGCUGCAGAGAUUUUGUUGAAUUGCAUAAGAAUGUCAUUGACAAACAGUGAAAAUGCAAAAUUACUAACUAAAAUGCUGGAUAACAAUGGAAAAUAAUUUCUUCUCUCAUUUAUUUUGUGGCAAAUGCAUUAAUCAUCUGCAAGAUGAGAAAGCCUGUAAGAUGAGAACACAUUUUGAAAAUUUGCAAAACAUCUGUACAGAUGGUAAAUGAGCAAACAAAAUGAGUAGCUGCACAAGCCCAGGAAGUAAAAUAUUUGCAGCAAAGUUCUUGCAUAGCUACCAACCCUUCAAUAUUUGUUGGAAUAUAGUAUGUUUGGCAACUGAUUCCAUACAUUAAAUUAGUUUUAGUAACAUAUAUAAAAAUCUCUCUCCUAUAUAUAUCUGAGAGAAAAAGAGGACAAUUUUAUGCUGUUUUAAAUCUGAUCAUUCUUUUUUUUCCAGUUUUUCAGAACAUUCAUUUUCACAUGACUGUCCCUUUUGAAAGCGCCUCCUCCUGAUGCCCCCAAACUGUUUUAUCUUUGCACAUCAGCUAGCUCUUUUGUAUGACAUGUCUAAGUACAGGAUACUUCGCUUCUUCUUCACUUUUUUUUUUUUUCUUUUAAACCACAGCUUCUUCAACAUAUUGAUAGAUCAAUGAUAACAAAAGAGCAUUUUUUUUAAUAACACUUUCCUGUGAAGGUUGAAAGUAACCCUGUCAGAGAUCAUGUCUUCACUGCAUAAAUCUAUCAUUAUGUCAACCUACUGGAUAGGGGCAAAUGUUUGGAAAUACAUAAGCAACCACCACAGACUAUCUAAUGAAUCUUUCCCAAACAGAGCUGUGCUUUCAUAAUCCACAUGCUUUUAAUUAUUGUUAACCAUUGAGCAAUCAAUCCACAGUUGUCAUUAAAACCAGUACUUUCAGGCCUUGUGGCAGCCUGUAGUCAGGUACCUACAUAAAUUAAACAGGUGCUCAGCGGUACCUGAACAGACAAUUCAUUCGUUUAUUUGAAUAUGGAUUUAAAAUGAUAAGAUUAAGGUCAAAAACUUCAAAAAUUUAAAAAUUAAAUAAUUAAAAAAAAAAGCAAAUCAUCAAGCAAAUAUUCAGAUGAAAAGUGUCUAGGGAGGAACGUGAAGAAUGUCUCCCUUUGCUAACUCCUUGAAACAGGUGGUUCUUAGUGCUAUUCAUUGAGCAUGGUGCCAGAAAACAAGCUAAAAUCCAAUGGCAUUUUUUGCACUGAUGUGGGGGAUCAGUCCUCCAGUCUUUCAUUUUAUGAGCUUUCGAAGCUUUUGUAGUACCAGCCAAACUGAGUUUGCCAAUUGGGUCAAGGAUUUGUCUGUAAUUGCUGAAAUUUGCUGAGUCUGAAGUCACUGUUCAAAUAUUACAGACGUAUUUCAGAGUUCCAUCUCCUACAAGUGGAUCUCUGAAAACAAUCCCGUGUGUUUAUCCUCAAUGAAAUGUAACUUUAGUUUAUGGUUCAACAGUUAUUAGUACCAGAUCUGGAUUACACAGAACUACAAAUUGCAUCUUGACCCAGUAAAAAGCACGUGUAACACUACCCAGUUUGUUCAACGUAGAGAACAUACCAAACGUCAUUGUUUUGAGCCAGGUAUUGGAGAAUGGAAAAUACCUGAUCUGAUGUCAAUGACACUUUGUUGCUUGUUAAAAAUUUUUGAAUAAAAGAACAAACACAAUGAUUUAAAACUAAGUCAAUACAUUUUGCUUGAUGUGUCUGCAGUGUUUUGAUUCAGUAUUAGGAUCAAGAAGUUGGAAGGUGGGUACUGUUGAAACAUGGCCUGGACUGCAACAUGAUUCCUACUAACGCAUAAAGCUGUUAAGUCAAGUGUGCACUGGUGUUCUGAACAACUGAGAUGGCCAUCAGACGUAUGGACACAGCACAACAUCAGGGCUUAGCAGUCAUGCUGUAAAUACAGACAAUAUUUCUAACCAAAGGGCUAUUCAUAACAUGACUUAAGGUUAAAUCAAAGACAACUCUUUUCAUUCUGAGAUAAAAUAAUGACUUAAUUCUAAUGGGUCACCAGGAAUUUACAUACUGAUUAUCUUAUAAGUUUUGUUAGAUAAAUGUUGCUUAUAAGUAUUAGGGGUAUUUUUUAAAUGACUCUUUGAGAAAUAGCUAUUGUGAGGCAUCUUGAUUCUUUUUUUUUUUUUUUGUCUUGGUAAUAUAGGAAACAAACACAUUGAAUACUUAAGAUAACUGCAGAUCUCAGACUGUAUCAUGUUGAGUCUACACAAUUAACAUCACCUCUAAACAGAUAAAACUGACAUAAGAAAUACCUAGAAGAGCUAAGCUGGAAUUUCUGAAUGUUUACUCCCAGGG
Molecule: long non-coding RNA, 11338 nt
Organism: Cygnus olor (mute swan)
Lineage: Eukaryota; Metazoa; Chordata; Aves; Anseriformes; Anatidae
Exons: 2
Source: RefSeq, a predicted model, not a curated record